UAGACAAAAAUGAUAUGGAAAUAUGUAACGAGUUCAGAAAUAAUGAGAGGUCAAACAAUCCAAUUUCGAAAGGAUUUCAAGGUAUUUAUCAUAUACUUAGCAUUGAUAUGAUAGCUUUUGCAUAUGUGUAAUGAGCGGAAGUACACAAGCCAUAAUUUCCCACCCGGUCUGAUAACCCAUAUCAGCCCGGGCUGAUAACCCAUAUCAGGGGCGUCUCGUGCAAAAACCCAUAACAGUGCUUUUCGUGCAAGUUACUUCCGGUGUUUCUGGUAUCGAUUGUUUACUUUUCCAUUGUGACGUCAGAUAUUUUUUAUGACGACGUCAAAAUUUACGGGAACUUUUGUCCCCAGUUAAGUACUUGCUAACAAAUGCCCUUGACAAUUAAGAAUCAUUUUAUAGUACAACAAACAUGGAGUAAUAAUGAUCAUAAAACUCUUCCAAAUUUUCAAUGUUUCAAAAU
Molecule: long non-coding RNA, 460 nt
Filed under: Mytilus galloprovincialis (Mediterranean mussel)
Lineage: Eukaryota; Metazoa; Mollusca; Bivalvia; Mytilida; Mytilidae
Source: RNAcentral